This 253-nucleotide ribosomal RNA is filed under the name uncultured bacterium. RNAcentral describes it as "partial 16S ribosomal RNA". It matches the Rfam family "Bacterial small subunit ribosomal RNA", at positions 524 to 776 of the family's 1533-position model. The record is from RNAcentral.
UACGUAGGCAGCGAGCGUUGUUCGGAGUUACUGGGCGUAAAGAGUGCGUAGGCGGUUUUCUAAGUUUGGUGUGAAAUCUCCCGGCUUAACUGGGAGGGUGCGCCGAAAACUGGAAGGCUUGAGUAUGGGAGAGGUAAGCGGAAUUCCUGGUGUAGCGGUGAAAUGCGUAGAUAUCAGGAGGAACACCGAUGGCGAAGGCAGCUCGCUGGGACGGUACUGACGCUGAGACGCGAAAGCGUGGGGAGCAAACAGG